AAAAAGGCGCUGGUUAAUACCUGGCGUUUUUGACGGUACCGGCAGAAUAAGCACCGGCUAACUACGUGCCAGCAGCCGCGGUAAUACGUAGGGUGCGAGCGUUAAUCGGAAUUACUGGGCGUAAAGCGUGCGCAGGCGGUUCGUUGUGUCCGGUGUGAAAGCCCCGAGCUUAACUUGGGAAUGGCAUUGGAAACUGGCGAGCUGGAGUGUGGCAGAGGGGGGUGGAAUUCCACGUGUAGCAGUGAAAUGCGUAGAGAUGUGGAGGAACACCGAUGGCGAAGGCAGCCCCCUGGGCCAACACUGACGCUCAGGCACGAAAGCGUGGGGAGCAAACAGGAUUAGAUACCCUGGUAGUCCACGCCCUAAACGAUGUCAACUGGGUGUUGGGGAAGCGAUUCCUUGGUACCGUAGCUAACGCGUGAAGUUGACCGCCUGGGGAGUACGGCCGCAAGGUUAAAACUCAAAGGAAUUGACGGGGACCCGCACAAGCGGUGGAUGAUGUGGAUUAAUUCGAUGCAACGCGAACAACCUUACCUACCCUUGACAUGUCUGGAAGCCUGCUGAGAGGUGGGUGUGCCCGAAAGGGAACCGGAACACAGGUGCUGCAUGGCU
Molecule: ribosomal RNA, 612 nt
Filed under: uncultured beta proteobacterium
Lineage: Bacteria; Pseudomonadati; Pseudomonadota; Betaproteobacteria
Description: bacterial SSU rRNA
Rfam family: Bacterial small subunit ribosomal RNA
Source: RNAcentral